RNAcentral lists this ribosomal RNA (497 nucleotides) under uncultured bacterium. RNAcentral's name for it is "partial 16S ribosomal RNA". It matches the Rfam family "Bacterial small subunit ribosomal RNA", at positions 28 to 507 of the family's 1533-position model. The record is from RNAcentral.
GAUGAACGCUGGCGGCGUGCCUAAUACAUGCAAGUCGAGCGAACAGACGAGGAGCUUGCUCCUCUGACGUUAGCGGCGCACGGGUGAGUAACACGUGGAUAACCUACCUAUAAGACUGGGAUAACUUCGGGAAACCGGCGCUAAUCCCGUAUAAUCUAUUGAACCGCAUUGUUCAAUAGUGAAAUACGGUGUUGCUGUCACUUAUAGCUGGAUCCCCGCCGCAUUAGCUAGUUGGUAAGGUUACAGCUUACCAAGGCAACGAUGCGUAGCCGACCUGAGAGGGUGAUAGCCCACACUGGAACUGAAACAGGGACAAGACUACUACGGGAGGCAGCAGUAGGGAAUCUUCCGCAAUGGGCGAAAGCCUGACGGAGCAACGCGGCGUGAGAGAUGAAGGUCUUCGGAUCGGAAAACUCUGUUAUUAGGGAAGAACAAAUGUGUAAGUAACUAUGCACGUCUUGACGGUACCUAAUCAGAAAGCCACGGCUAACUACGUG